UGGGGAAUUUUGGACAAUGGGCGCAAGCCUGAUCCAGCCAUGCCGCGUGCAGGAUGAAGGCCUUCGGGUUGUAAACCGCUUUUGCACGGAACGAAAAGACUCCUUCUAAUAAAGGGGGUCCAUGACGGUACCGUAAGAAUAAGCACCGGCUAACUACGUGCCAGCAGCCGCGGUAAUACGUAGGGUGCGAGCGUUAAUCGGAAUUACUGGGCGUAAAGCGUGCGCAGGCGGUUUUGUAAGACAGAGGUGAAAUCCCCGGGCUCAACCUGGGAAUUGCCUUUGUGACUGCAAGGCUUGAGUGCGGCAGAGGGGGAUGGAAUUCCGCGUGUAGCAGUGAAAUGCGUAGAUAUGCGGAGGAACACCGAUGGCGAAGGCAAUCCCCUGGGCCUGCACUGACGCUCAUGCACGAAAGCGUGGGGAGCAAACA
RNAcentral lists this ribosomal RNA (427 nucleotides) under uncultured bacterium. RNAcentral describes it as "bacterial SSU rRNA". It matches the Rfam family "Bacterial small subunit ribosomal RNA", at positions 355 to 774 of the family's 1533-position model. The record is from RNAcentral.